This is a non-coding RNA of Pelobates cultripes (western spadefoot toad), 257 nucleotides long. The record is from the annotation of a GenBank genome assembly. Lineage: Eukaryota; Metazoa; Chordata; Amphibia; Anura; Pelobatidae.
GAGGGGGUGACUAGUGACAGAGGGAGGGAGGGAGGGAAGGGGUGACUAGUGACAGAGUGAGGGAGGUUGUGAUUAGUGACAGAGGGAGGGAUGGGGUGACUAGUGACAGUCACCACCUCCUUCACUCUGUCACUAGUCACCCCCUCCCUCACUCUGUCAUUGUGUCACCCCCUCUCUCACUCUGUCACUAGUCAUCCCCUUCCUUACUGUCACUAGUUACCCCCUCCCUCUCUCUGUCACUAGUCCCACCCUCCCUC